Gallus gallus (chicken) is the source of this 1231-nucleotide long non-coding RNA. Lineage: Eukaryota; Metazoa; Chordata; Aves; Galliformes; Phasianidae. The record is from Ensembl.
CUCCAGGCCUGAAUGUGUAGUCAAAGUAGCAUCAACAGGGUGUGGGCCAUUACACCUCAUUAUGAAAAUCAAAAGGACUGAAAACAAAAGAGACAUCUCAGCUUGUCACCAUGCUAUUCCUCCUUGCUGUAUGUAUGGUAACUGUGAGUCACACCCUGAACCACUGAUUGAGCACCUGGGUAAAGGACCAGGCCAGCCCUAGGAGCACAGCUGAAGGCAAUUCACCUGUGCAACUGGAAGAGGUGGAGCCUGGCUGCACCUCUCUUAGACCCCCCCAUUUAAGGGCUGACUGGCCCUGGGAGAAGGAUCUCUGGUUGGAGAUCGUUCCUUUGUGGAGUCUUUCUUGUGAGCCUAGAUCUUCAGAGAUGGAAUACUGAGAAGAUCCAUACUAUGUCUGCUAGUAGGAGUUACUGGCAAGUGUUGAUAUCUCUCUUUUGGCUCUAAUUUGGGCCUCAGGUUGCUGCAGUGUGAGUACUUCUCCAAAUAAACACAUCUGUUUUAUACCUUAAUCAAGAAAUACGUACGUUGUUGUAUGGUUACUUUCAAGUUUAUGAGAGAAGUUACAUGCCUCAGGAUAUGUACUCCUUCAGUUGUUUUUUAAUGUUUAUUUACAGAGCUGCCAUCCUGGUUCCCCAUGUUGCUAAUGUCAGCCAGCUCUCCUGGAGUCCUUUGAGAAGGACAACAGAAAACUACGGCAGCAACUAGAAUAAAUAGGGAAUAUGAACUACGUUUCUUCCUUUUUCACUCCAAGAAGGAAGACAAAGAAGUAUGGUACACUACAUCUGUGACAUGGUAAAAACCUCAGGUGGGAAGCAGAGAUUCCAACGCAGCAUACCAGUUGCUUUGAUGGUAGCAUGGAUGGAGUAAGUGUCAGUACUCAGAAGCUUAAUCUAGCUUUAUUGGUCUUUCAUACAAAAAAAAAAACCCUAAAUUUGAUAUUUCAGACCCUCACUAAAGUUAUUGCUUGAAUUUACUUAUUUUAAAAUGUAUUUGAACACUUGUUUCCUUUCAAGAAUGAGCCUGUCACUAAUAAAGCAGUUAAAAAGUAAAUUAUUUCCCUCUCUUUCUGCUGGUUCUCUUUUUGUUAUUUCAGGUAUGAUCUGUCCAGUACAAAGAACCAGUUGUGUAGGUUUCUGAGAUGUUUUGUAUCGAACUGUCAAUGGUAUUCAGAUUUAUUUAAGAAAUCCUCCCCUUCAUUGAGGGUUACUGCCCUGAUGCUGGGUUAGCCUGC